UGAGUAGGACAAGUGAUCGCGGCUGUACUUAAUUUAAGUACGGGUGAGGAAAGUCCGGGCUUCAUAGGGCAGGAUGCCGGAUAACGUCCGGUGGAGGUGACUCCCAGGCCAGUGCAACAGAAAUAAACCGCCUGCUUUGCAGGUAAGGGUGGAAAGGCAGUGUAAGAGACUACCGUGCGUGUGGUAACACACGUAGCCAUGUAAACCCCAUCCGAAGCAAGACCAAGAAUGCCAUUUUGGCAGGAAAACCAUAGAUUUGCCCGAUCUGUUUUCCGGUAGGUCGCUUGAGGCUGUUGGUAACAGCAGUCCUAGAAAGAUGAUCACUCAACGACAUAACCCGGCUUAUCGUCUUACUCACUUU
RNAcentral lists this RNase P RNA (361 nucleotides) under Lachnospiraceae bacterium. RNAcentral's name for it is "RNase P RNA component class A". It matches the Rfam family "Bacterial RNase P class A". From Rfam's summary of the family: Ribonuclease P (RNase P) is a ubiquitous endoribonuclease, found in archaea, bacteria and eukarya as well as chloroplasts and mitochondria. Its best characterised activity is the generation of mature 5'-ends of tRNAs by cleaving the 5'-leader elements of precursor-tRNAs. Lineage: Bacteria; Bacillati; Bacillota; Clostridia; Lachnospirales; Lachnospiraceae. The record is from RNAcentral.